AGUGAACGCUGGCGGUAGGCCUAACACAUGCAAGUCGAACGGCAGCACAGUAAGAGCUUGCUCUUACGGGUGGCGAGUGGCGGACGGGUGAGGAAUACAUCGGAAUCUACUUUUUCGUGGGGGAUAACGUAGGGAAACUUACGCUAAUACCGCAUACGACCUACGGGUCAAAGCAGGGGAUCUUCGGACCUUGCGCGAUUGAAUGAGCCGAUGUCGGAUUAGCUAGUUGGCGGGGUAAAGGCCCACCAAGGCGACGAUCCGUAGCUGGUCUGAGAGGAUGAUCAGCCACACUGGAACUGAGACACGGUCCAGACUCCUACGGGAGGCAGCAGUGGGGAAUAUUGGACAAUGGGCGCAAGCCUGAUCCAGCCAUACCGCGUGGGUGAAGAAGGCCUUUGGGUUGUAAAGCCCUUUUGUUGGGAAAGAAAAGCAGCAGGUUAAUACCCCGCUGUUCGGACGGUACCCAAAGAAUAAGCACCGGCUAACUUCGU
RNAcentral lists this ribosomal RNA (491 nucleotides) under uncultured bacterium. RNAcentral describes it as "partial 16S ribosomal RNA". It matches the Rfam family "Bacterial small subunit ribosomal RNA", at positions 29 to 506 of the family's 1533-position model. The record is from RNAcentral.